Molecule: ribosomal RNA, 173 nt
Filed under: Kordiimonadaceae bacterium
Lineage: Bacteria; Pseudomonadati; Pseudomonadota; Alphaproteobacteria; Kordiimonadales; Kordiimonadaceae
Description: partial 23S ribosomal RNA
Rfam family: Bacterial large subunit ribosomal RNA
Source: RNAcentral
UAUGUGUGGAAGAGAUAACCGCUGAAAGCAUCUAAGCGGGAAGCCCCCCUCAAGAUAAAUUCUCCCUUAAGAGCCGUGGAAGACCACCACGUUGAUAGGCUGGAUGUGGAAGCACAGUAAUGUGUGAAGCUGACCAGUACUAAUUACUCGAUCGACUUGAAAUCUCAUCAUGA